Molecule: long non-coding RNA, 824 nt
Organism: Anolis carolinensis (green anole)
Lineage: Eukaryota; Metazoa; Chordata; Lepidosauria; Squamata; Anolidae
Exons: 2
Source: RefSeq, a predicted model, not a curated record
AAAAUUAUGUUACUGCCACUUUCGGCAGUAACAACAGGCAAAAAAAAAAAAAAAAACCCUGGCCUUUUGCUCAGUUGUUUUUCAUCCCCCACCCCUGCCCACCUAUUAAACCAUCAGGGUUGCUCCGGCAGUAAAAAGCCAAUUGCUUCCCGAUUCUUGUGGGUCUCCAGAAGAAGGCAAGAGUAAUGAGGAAACUGUCUGUAUCAAUCACAGGCAAUUUUCCAAAUCCUCCCUUGCCUACGUUCGAAGGCACAGAAGACCAGGAAACAGCUUGCCUUUUUAUUUCUCCAGCAGCUCCUAUACUUUAAAAGGCGGGUCUGACGGUUUCUAGCUGCAGUGUUUGACCAGUGAGUAGGGAAAGAAGGAGAAAAAUCUUACGAUUGUUGAGAACAUGGCAUAAAACUCAAGACAUUCUUCCCAAAGUACUUCUAAAAAUGCCUAACAGUAACUUAUUUGGAACUAGAAAAUGUAACUUUUUUUACAUAAAAAGUAAUGUUAAUUCCUAGUUGUUAUAUUUCUGUUAUGUUCUCAUUGCAAAAAACAAUCCUACAUAUAAAGAACACCCUUCACUGCAAGAGGCUAAAUUACUCAUUACUUCCGAUCUCUGGAUGAAAGCAUAUCUGCAGAGGAGACAGCAACAGACACUGCCAGCUGAGACUGUGACAGAGGACAUAAUGUUGAAGAACAUGUCAUCCCCUCAUUUUUCUCUGAUAUCUUUGCCUUGUGAAGGGAUCUGAAAUUCCUGAAAUUUUGUACAAGUCACUCUCUGUUUUGGACCAAUACAAGUAUGGAUUUUGCCAAUUCUAAAAAGUACUUCAAGAUGA